AACAAUCGGUACUGCGGCGCUGAUCUU
Molecule: small RNA, 27 nt
Filed under: Bombyx mori (domestic silkworm)
Lineage: Eukaryota; Metazoa; Arthropoda; Insecta; Lepidoptera; Bombycidae
Description: ovarian small RNA-10203
Source: RNAcentral